CGGGGUGUGGCGAAGUUUGGUAUCGCGCUUGGUUCGGGACCAAGAGGCCUCGAGUUCGAAUCUCGACACUCCGACCA
RNAcentral lists this transfer RNA (77 nucleotides) under Firmicutes bacterium HGW-Firmicutes-16. RNAcentral describes it as "tRNA-Pro". It matches the Rfam family "tRNA". From Rfam's summary of the family: Transfer RNA (tRNA) molecules are approximately 80 nucleotides in length. Lineage: Bacteria; Bacillati; Bacillota. The record is from RNAcentral. RNAcentral also lists the same sequence under 3 other names.